UGGGGAAUCUUCGGCAAUGGACGAAAGUCUGACCGAGCAACGCCGCGUGAGUGAAGAAGGUUUUCGGAUCGUAAAACUCUGUUGGUAGAGAAGAACGUUGGUGAGAGUGGAAAGCUCAUCAAGUGACGGUAACUACCCAGAAAGGGACGGCUAACUACGUGCCAGCAGCCGCGGUAAAUACGUAGGUCCCGAGCGUUGUCCGGAUUUAUUGGGCGUAAAGCGAGCGCAGGUGGUUUAUUAAGUCUGGUGUAAAAGGCAGUGGCUCAACCAUUGUAUGCAUUGGAAACUGGUAGACUUGAGUGCAGGAGAGGAGAGUGGAAUUCCAUGUGUAGCGGUGAAAUGCGUAGAUAUAUUGGAGGACACCGGUGGCGAAAGCGGCUCUCUGGCCUGUAACUGACACUGGGACUCGAAAGCGUGGGGAGCAAACA
This 428-nucleotide ribosomal RNA is filed under the name uncultured Lactococcus sp. RNAcentral's name for it is "bacterial SSU rRNA". It matches the Rfam family "Bacterial small subunit ribosomal RNA", at positions 355 to 774 of the family's 1533-position model. Lineage: Bacteria; Bacillati; Bacillota; Bacilli; Lactobacillales; Streptococcaceae. The record is from RNAcentral.